RNAcentral lists this long non-coding RNA (865 nucleotides) under Rosa chinensis. RNAcentral describes it as "sRNA RchiOBHm_Chr4g0432551". The stretch from base 372 to 515 matches the Rfam family "small nucleolar RNA snoR137". Lineage: Eukaryota; Viridiplantae; Streptophyta; Magnoliopsida; Rosales; Rosaceae. The record is from RNAcentral.
CUAUAUAGCUUCACCCCUAAACCCCAGAGCCCCAUCGCCGCUCUUCUUUCCUGUAAGCAUUUGCAUCUUCAUCUCUUUUGUAUUCGAAUUAGAGACUUGCUCUAGGGUUUUAGAACAGCUUCAGGGUUUUAGAAUUGAUUCAUAGUUUUUGGGUCGCUUUCGAUAGGCGUUACGUUCAUCGGCUGGUCUAUAAAUCCAGAGGGACGUGUCAACGGAAGCGUAUAUUAAACUUCGAUCGAUACCCAAUUUUCUCAAAACCGGCUACGCAUUAUUGUUCGUAGUCUGGGUAAAUUUUUUGUUGGGUCGAGGUCGAGAUAAUUUUUCAUAAAAUCAAUUUUGGGUUUUUUGUUUUGUUUUUGUUUGAUAUCAUUGUUGCUUUAUAAUGGUGAACUCCCUGUUAAUUUCGAUUGGUUGGGGAUGUUCAAGUUUCCAAAGCAUAGAGUAAUAUUGUUGCCAGUAUUAAACAGCACCGUGCAUAUUUGCUUGCACUGUGUUACCUGUCUCCUGGUACAUGUUUUAUCUUCUUCACCAAGUUUUUCAAAUUCUGAAUCUGUAACUCUGAUGUUUGAAUUUUGCAUCCAGAAGUGUGCAGUGACGAGGCUUUUUUGCGGACUAGAGUUUAUGAUCUGGGUUCUUCACCCAGAAGUUGAUUACAAACCCUUGGCUGUCUGAGCACCCAAAACCAAUUUCUAAAGGCACUUUUUUCCUAUCCUGAUGUCUCUGUUUUGUUUUGCAAGUAUUCAAGUCUUGUGUGAUUUAUUGUUUUCGACAUAUAAAUGGGGCUUAUGAUGAAAAUUUAAUCAUCUUAGCGGAUUUCCGUGAGAUCGUAGUGUCAAUGAUCUGAUUGUUACACACACUGAAGUAA